AAGUCGUAACAAGGUAUCCGUAGGUGAACCUGCGGAUGGAUCAUUAACACUUUCCAAAAACAACUGAGUUCUACACCAUGGCUAGCGUCAUUGUUGUAGGCUUGGUUUUCAAACCCAAAUCAGCGAACUUGUCAACGGCAUAGCAUGUUUGUUUGAUUGUUUCAAACAAACAAACAAACAAAGUUAUGUCCGUUCGUUUUCUCCUUGUCAAUUUUACUUUUAUUAUUCAACACUCUUUUUUUCUUUUCCUUCAUUGGAUGGAAAAAAGCAGCGUCAAACGAAAUAACUUGACUAAGAAGAAAAAAAAACCCCACGUUUAAUGAACAUUAAAUGAGGGAAAAAGAAAAAAUAAACAAAAAAUACAACUCUUAACAACGGAUAUCUUGGCUCUC
RNAcentral lists this unclassified non-coding RNA (392 nucleotides) under fungal sp. RNAcentral describes it as "partial internal transcribed spacer region". The stretch from base 1 to 46 matches the Rfam family "Eukaryotic small subunit ribosomal RNA", at positions 1786 to 1831 of the family's 1831-position model. Lineage: Eukaryota; Fungi. The record is from RNAcentral.